RNAcentral lists this ribosomal RNA (253 nucleotides) under uncultured bacterium. Its description in RNAcentral is "partial 16S ribosomal RNA". It matches the Rfam family "Bacterial small subunit ribosomal RNA", at positions 524 to 776 of the family's 1533-position model. The record is from RNAcentral.
UACGUAGGGUGCGAGCGUUAAUCGGAAUUACUGGGCGUAAAGCGUGUGCAGGCGGUUCGUUGUGUCGGCGGUGAAAGCCCCGGGCUCAACCUGGGAAUGGCCGUUGAAACUGGCGAACUGGAGUGUGGCAGAGGGGGGCGGAAUUCCGCGUGUAGCAGUGAAAUGCGUAGAGAUGCGGAGGAACACCGAUGGCGAAGGCAGCCCCCUGGGCUGACACUGACGCUCAGGCACGAAAGCGUGGGGAGCAAACAGG